AAUCAACGCUGGCGGCGCGCCUAACACAUGCAAGUCGAGCGAGAAAGAGGGGCAACCCUUGAGUAAAGCGGCGUACGGGUGAGUAACACGUAGGUAUCCACCUCUUAGUGGGGAAUAACUCGGGGAAACCUGAGCUAAUACCGCAUAAGUCCGAGAGGAGAAAGCAGCAAUGCGCUGAGAGAGGAGCCUGCGGCCGAUUA
This 200-nucleotide ribosomal RNA is filed under the name uncultured bacterium. Its description in RNAcentral is "partial 16S ribosomal RNA". It matches the Rfam family "Bacterial small subunit ribosomal RNA", at positions 32 to 243 of the family's 1533-position model. The record is from RNAcentral.